AAGGAGCUGCAUUACCUGAACAAAGAAGACCGGUUGCUACGGUGGCUUCUGGUUAAACACCGAAACACCAAAUACGGGCUGGAAUUUCUGAAUGAAGAUGAUGUUAGAAGUGAGCUGAGCAAGUUCCCACGAAGCACCUUAUUCGACGAUGAGAACAUUGAUGAGGAUGACGAUGACGAUGAUGAAGAAUAUGAAGUGAACCAAGAUGAGGGUCACAAUGAUGAAGAAUAUGAAGUCAACCAAGAUAAGGAGGAAAAGUGAAGGAUAAUGAAAUCUUGUAGUCAUGUUUAUAUGAUUAUGAGGGCUGAUUAUGUGGGCAUUUUGUUAGCAUGCCCUUCUUAG
Molecule: long non-coding RNA, 342 nt
Filed under: Vitis vinifera (wine grape)
Lineage: Eukaryota; Viridiplantae; Streptophyta; Magnoliopsida; Vitales; Vitaceae
Description: long non-coding RNA (VVIN_LNC003454)
Source: RNAcentral